Long non-coding RNA from Mastomys coucha (southern multimammate mouse), 447 nucleotides. RefSeq lists it as uncharacterized. The transcript has 3 exons. The record is from RefSeq and is a predicted model, not a curated record. NCBI's taxonomy places the organism in Eukaryota, Metazoa, Chordata, Mammalia, Rodentia, Muridae.
UCUUCACCCUCUUGCUUCCCAGGAUGCCAUGAGAUGAGUAGACUCCUCUACUACAUAUUUUCACCAUGGUGUGCUGUGCCACUCCAAUUUCAAAGCAAUAGGACUGAGUUGGGAGUGGGAAGAGACUUCUGAGACCAGGAGCCACAGUAAGCCUGUCCUCCUUACCAGCUUGCUAUCUCAGCCCACCUACUGCCUCAUAUGGCACAGUGUGCUGAACCAUUCUAUGCCUACAUGUCUGCAAGUGCCAAGUGACACUCCAAACCUCAAAUGCUCCAUAAAGAAGGCCUCCCAAGUCCUUCAUGUACCCUUACAGGUCCAACCAUGCAGUCCACCUCACCUCAAAGAAGGUGAUGGCUGCAAGCUCCCACCACCAGAAUGGACCUACCCAGCUGCCACACCCCAUGGAAUGUACUGCCUGCGAGCCAAAAUAAAUCUGAAGUAUUUUGU